UGGGGAAUAUUGCACAAUGGAGGGAACUCUGAUGCAGCGACGCCGCGUGAACGAAGAAGGCUUUCGAGUCGUAAAGUUCUUUUAUAUGGGAAGAUAAUGACGGUACCAUAAGAAAAAGCCCCGGCUAACUACGUGCCAGCAGCCGCGGUAAUACGUAGGGGGCUAGCGUUGUCCGGAAUCACUGGGCGUAAAGGGUUCGCAGGCGGAAAUGCAAGUCAGGUGUAAAAGGCAGUAGCUUAACUACUGUAAGCAUUUGAAACUGCAUAUCUUGAGAAGAGUAGAGGUAAGUGGAAUUUUUAGUGUAGCGGUGAAAUGCGUAGAUAUUAAAAUGAAUACCGGUGGCGAAGGCGACUUACUGGGCUCAUUCUGACGCUGAGGAACGAAAGCGUGGGUAGCAAACAGG
This 403-nucleotide ribosomal RNA is filed under the name bacterium. RNAcentral's name for it is "partial 16S ribosomal RNA". It matches the Rfam family "Bacterial small subunit ribosomal RNA", at positions 355 to 776 of the family's 1533-position model. The record is from RNAcentral. RNAcentral also lists the same sequence under 1 other name.